Molecule: ribosomal RNA, 459 nt
Filed under: uncultured Pseudomonas sp.
Lineage: Bacteria; Pseudomonadati; Pseudomonadota; Gammaproteobacteria; Pseudomonadales; Pseudomonadaceae
Description: bacterial SSU rRNA
Rfam family: Bacterial small subunit ribosomal RNA
Source: RNAcentral
ACAAGCGGUGGAGCAUGUGGUUAAUUCGAUGCAACGCGAAGAACCUUACCUGGCCUUGACAUGCUGAGAACUUUCCAGAGAUGGAUUGGUGCCUUUCGGGAACUCAGACACAGGUGCUGCACGGCUGUCGUCAGCUCGUGUCGUGAGGUGUUGGGUUAAGUCCCGUAACGAGCGCAACCCUUGUCCUUAGUUACCAGCACGUAAUGGUGGGGAACUCUAAGGAGACUGCCGGUGACAAACCGGAGGAAGGUGGGGAUGACGUCAAGUCAUCAUGGCCCUUACGGCCAGGGCUACACACGUGCUACAAUGGUCGGUACAAAGGGUUGCCAAGCCGCGAGGUGGAGCUAAUCCCAUAAAACCGAUCGUAGUCCGGAUCGCAGUCUGCAACUCGACUGCGUGAAGUCGGAAUCGCUAGUAAUCGCAGGUCAGCAUACUGCGGUGAAUACGUUCCCGGGCCUU